ACCAGAUGGUGAGCCCAGAGGAAGACCCCGUGGCUCUGGGCCAGUGUGCGUCAGCCAGGUCCCCAGCCCCCAGUGUGCUGAAGCUCAGGCCCUUCCCAACGCCCUGGUCUCCUGCACUGAGUGAGCUCUUCCGCCCAUUUGGGCCCUCUGACAUUGACCGGCAUAGAUGGUGAGCUCGGAGGAAGACUUGCAUUGGGCCCAAUGGAGCUGGGCCAGUUUCUGUCAGCCAGGUCCCCAGCUCCUGAUGCACUGAAGCUCAGGCCCUUCCUGGAGCCCUGGUCUCCUGCCCUGAGCUGUGAUGGUGAGCCUGGAGGAAGACUUGCACUGGGCCUUCUGUGCGCCGGCCAGAGGCCAUCAACCAGGUGCCCAGGUCCUUUUGUACUGAAGCUUGGGCCCUUCCUGGCACCCUGGUCUCCUUCAUGGAGCUGAUGGUGAGCCUGAAGGAAGACUUGCAUCAGGACCAAUGGACCCUGGCAAGUGUCCGUCAGCCAGGUGCUCAGCCCCUGGUGCACUGAAGCUCAGGCCCUUCCUGGCCCCUUGAUCUCCUGCACUGAGCUGUGUGAGCUCUUCUGCCAAGGGGGGGCCUCCUGGCAUUGACCAACAUAGAUGGUGAGCCUGGAGGAAGAUUUGCAUUGGGCCCAAUGGCCCUGGGCCAGUGUCUGUCAGCCAGUUUCCCAGCCCCUGGUGCACUGAAGCUCAGGCCUUUCCUGGCAUCCUGGCCUCCUGCACUGAGCUGUGUGAGUGCUUCUGCCCAGGCAGGCCACUUGGCAUUGACCGGUAUAGAUGGUGACCCUGAAGAAAGACUUCAGUUGGGCCUGAAGGCCCCGGGCCAGUGUCCAUCAUCCAGGUGCUCAGCUCCCAGUGCACUGAAGCUCAGACCCUUCCUGGUUCCCUGGUCUCUUGCACUGAGCUCUGAUGGUGAGACUUGAGGAAGACUUCCACUGGGCCUGCUUUUCCUGAGCCAGUGCCCAUCACCCAGGUGCUCAGUCCCUGGUGCACUGAAGCUCCAGCCCUUCCUGGCGCCCUGGUCUCCUGAACUGAGCUGUGUGAGCUCUUCUGCCAAGCGGUUCCCCUGGCAUUGACCAACAUAGAUGGUGAGCCUGGAGGAAGACUUGCGUUGGGCCCAAAGGCCCUAGACCAGUGUCUGUCAGCCAGGUUCCCAACCCCCGAUGCGCUGAAGCUCAAGCCUUUCCUGGCACCCUGGUCUCCUGCACUGAGCUGUGUGAGCUCUUCUGCCCAGGCGGGCCCCCUGGAAUUGAUGGGUAUAGAUGGUGACCCCGGAGGAAAAUUUGUGUUGGGCCCACUAUCCCUGGGCCAAUGUCAGUCAGCUAGGCACCCAGCCCCCAGUGCGCUGAAGCUCAGGACCUUCCUAGUGCCCUCGGCUCCUGCACUGAGCUCUGAUGGUAAGCCUGGAGGAAGACUUGUGUUGGGCCCACAGGCCCCAGGCCAAUGUCUGUCAGCCAGGUGCUCAGCCUCUGGUGCGCUGAAACUCUGACCCUUCCUGGCACACUGGUCUCCUGCACUGAGCUGGGAUUUUCCACCUAGGAGGUCCACCUGGCAUUGACUGACAUAGAUGGUGAGACUUCUGUCGGCCUCGCUUUUCCUGGGCCAGUGUCCAUCAGCCAGGUGCUCAGCCCCAGUGCACUGAAGCUCCAGCCCUUCCUGGCGCCCUGGACUGAGCUGUGUGAGCUCUUCUGCCAAGGGGGUCCUCCUGGCAUUGACCAACAUAGGUGGUGAGCCUGGAGGAAGACUUGCAUUGGGCCCAAUGGCCCUGGACCAGUGUCUGUCAGCCAGGUUCCCAGCCCCCGAUGCGCUGAAGCUCAAGCCUUUCCUGGCACCCUGGUCUCCUGCACUGAGCUGUGUGAGCUCUUCGGCCCAAGUGGUCCCCCCGGCCUUAAGCGGCAUAGAUGGUGAGCCUGGAGGAAGACUCGUGUUGGGCCCACAGGCCCCAGGCCAGUGUACGUCAGCCAGGUGCUCAGCCCAUGGUGUGCUGAAGCUCUGACCCUUCCUGACUCCGUGGUCUCCUGCACUGAGCUGUGAUGACCAUAUCCAGUGAGCUCUUCCAAACAGGUGGGCUCCCUAGCAUUGACCGACAGAGUGAGCUCUGCCACCCAGGACAUCCCCCUGGCAUUGACUGGCAUAGAUGCUGACCCUGGAGGAAGACUUGUGUCGGGCCCCCAGGCCCCAGGCCAGUGUCCAUCAGCCAGGUGCUCAGCUCCCAGUGCGCUGAAGCUCAGACCCUUCCUGGCACCCUGGUGUCCAGCACUGAGCUGUGUGAGCUUUUCCACCCAGGUGGGCCCCCUGGCAUUGACCGACAUAGAUGAUGAGACUGGAGGAAGACUUCCAUUGGGCCCACUUUUCCUGGGCCAGUGUCCAUCAGCCAGGUGCUCAGCCCCUGGUGUACUGAAGCUCCAGCCUUUCCUGGUGCCCCAGUCUUCUGCACUAAGCUGUGUGAGCUCUUCCACCCAGGAGGGCCCCUUGGCAUUGACUGGCAUAGAUGGUGAGACGGGAGGAAGACUUGUGUUGGGCCUGCUGUUCCUGGGCCAGUGGCCAUCAGCCUGUUGCCCAGCCCCUGAGGCGCUGAAGCUCAGGCCCUUCCUCACACCCUGGUCUCCUGCACUAGCUGUGUGAGCUCUUCUGCCCAGGUGGGGCCCAUGGCCUUACACGACAUAGGAGCACGCAUUUCUUGAAGUCCUGCAAAGGUGAUGGUGGUCCAGACAGGAGAGGGUUCCUUCAGCCCAACAUAGCGCAGCUCCCAGCUGAAACUCGGAAGGCUGGUCAGGCCUCGAGGACUGCCCAGGCCACAUGAGGGUUUGGUGGCCGGGAGGGCCAAUGAUGCUCUGCGUCUGUGUUGGAUCAGUGUUCUUCAUGGAUUCCAUCACAUGGUGAGCCUUGAGGAAGACUUGUAUUGGGCCCCCACAGGCCCCAGGCCAGUGUCCGUCAGCCUGGUGCUCACCCCCAGUGUGCUGAAGCUCAGACCCUCCGUGGCACCCUGGUCUCCUGCACUGAGCUGUGUGAACUUUUCCUCCCAGAUGGGCCCCCUGGCAUUGACUGGCAUAGAUGGUGAGACCGGAGGAAGACUUGCAUUGGGCCUGUUGUUCCUGGGCCAGUGGCCAUCAGCCUGUUGCCCAGCCCCUGAUGCGCUGAAGCUCGGGCCCUUCCUCGCGCCCUGGUCUCCUGCACUGAGCUGUGUGAGCUCUUCUGCCCAGGUGAGGCCCAUGGCCUUAAGCGGCAUAGAUGGUGAGCCUGGAGGAAGACUUGUAUUGGGACCCUACAGGCCCCAGGCCAGUGUCUGUCAGCCUGGUGCUCAUCCCCCAGUGCGCUGAAGCUCAGACCCUCCCUGGCACCCUGGUCUCCUGCACUGAGCUGUGAUGGUGAGUCUGGAGGAAGACUUGUGUUGGACCCCCACAGGCCCCAGGCCAGUGUCCAUCAGCCUGGUGCUAAUCCCCCAGUGCUCUGGAGUUUGGACCCUCCCUGGCACCCUGGUCUCCUGCACUGAGCUGUGUGAGCUCUUCCACCCGGGCGGGCCCCCGGCAUUGACUGGCAUAGGUGGUGAGCCCGGAGGAGGACUUGCGUUCGGCCCGCUGGUCCCAGUGUGUCCGGAAUUGGUGGGUUCUUGGUCUCACUGACUUCAAGAAUGAAGCUGCGGACCCUCGCUAUGAUGAUAUGGAAGAAAAGCACUCUUUGGCCUGUUGUGACUGGGACAGUUGACAGCACCCAGGUGUCCUUUAAUGAAAAUGCUCUUGACACCAAUGCAUCCUAGCAUCACAGCUUCAGGAAGCCUUCUCAAGUGUGCAUGGGGAGUACUAUGUCUUUCAUCAAUAAUGAAAUCUUCUGAUUUGUAAGACAUGCUGCCAAGAGAUGUGCCAUUCUAUUAUAAAAGAUCAGUAGCUUCCUUUACCGACGUGUAUAUUCUAUCUAGAACAUUGAGCUAUGGAAGACUCCCACCUAAGGGAAUUAGUUUUACACCUUCAGAUAAAGACUGCUGAGAAGAGCACCCUCUGGUGUUGUCACAGAGGCAAGUGCUACCGCACAGGCAUGCUGCAGUGAAUUUAACUGAUCCUCUGUCCCUGCAACCGUUGUUUAAGGAUGCUAUUCUGAAAAGACUGUGGAGGAAGAAAACCCUUUACCCUGUUGUUCAGGGAGAAACUGACACCACUCAACUGCCUGGCACUGAAAAUGUGGCAUCCAGUCCACUUUACCAUCAGUGUUUAAGGAAACCAUCUCUGAUAAGGAUGACUGAGGAAGAGUACUCUUUGGCUUGUUGACACCAGCACAGCUGACACACCCAGAUAUCUGUUUGGUCUCCUGUGAACUUUCAACCAGGAUUUAAGGAUGCCACUCUGGUUAAAAGCUGAAACAACUUCAAGGAAACUUCAGGGAAAAGAGAAGGCCUGGAAUCUGAUCCUCCACUUCAGAGAACAGGGGUGGUGGAGUCUAUGGCCCUUCUCCUUGAAUCUGAGUGAAAUUAGUGAGUCUUUCAAUCCAAAGACUACAGUCAUACCUCAACUAUCUACAGAGGACUGGUUCCAGGACUCCCAUGGAUCCCAAAAUCCAAGGAUGCUUCGAAUCCCUUAUAUAAAAUGGCAUGGUAUUUGCAUAUAACCUACAUGCAUCUUCAAAUAUGUUAAACCAUCUCUAGAUUACUUAUAAUACCAAAUACAAUGUAAUGCUAUGUAAACAGUUGUUACAAUGUAUUGUCAAAGACAAGCUCUCCUUGCCAAUCCCUGACCAAAUGAGAGAUUCAUGAGCAAAAUAAAUAGUUGCUGAUAUUUAAGGCACUAAGUUUGGGGCAAUGUAUUACACAGCAAUAAAUAACUGGAACAGCAUAGUAAAUUCUAGUUAAAAAUACUAAACUACUAAGUUUUAGUUAACAUACAUGCUCAAGUUAAGGGUGUGGUAUACUAACAACUGCAACUUACUUUGAAAAGCAUAAAAAAAGACACUAGAAGAAGACAGGAUGGAUAGAUGGACAAGAUAGAAGACAAUAACAAAUAGAACAAAAUGUUGUGAAAUUAUAUUCUACAAUUAUUUUAAAGUCUGUGUGGUUUGAAAAAUUGUACGAUAAAAUGAAGAGUGAAAUAAAGACAUUUCCAUACAAACAAAAGCUGAAAGAUUUUGUAGCCAGUAGACCUAUACUUUAGAAAUGUUUAAGAAAUUUUUUCAAGUAAAAGGAAAAUAACACCAGCAACAAACUUGGAUCUACAAAAAGGAAUCUCCACAAAGAAAAAUAAAUAAAAAUGGUAAAUAUGAAGGUAAAUAUAAAGGAAUGUUAUUCUUAGUUUUUAAGUUUCUUCGUAAGACAACUGGCCUUUGAAAGAAAUAGUUUCAAACGCUGCUGUGGAAUCUAUAACACAUAUAGAAGUAAAAUGUUAAGAUCAUAAUACCAAAAAGAAUGAGGGAGAGUAAAUGGAUGUAUACUAUUCCAAAAUUCUUACAUUAUACAUUAAGAGGAAUAAUAUUUUUGAAGGUAGAUUGAGGUAAGUUAAAGGUGCAUAUUGUAAAUCCUAGAAGUAUCACUGGGGGGAAAAAAAACAGAGGGACAAGCUAAUAAUGGAGACAAUACAAAAUUCCAAAAAUGCUCCAUUAACCGAAAAGAAGGCAGAAAAGGAAGAAAAGAUUAGACAAAUAGAAAACAAAUAGUGUCUUAAACACAAUUAUAUUGCCAACUGCAAUAAAUGUAAAUGGACUUAAUCAAAAAGCAACGAUCGUAAAAAGUCAAUCUGAAAGCAAGAUGCAACUAUAUGCUAUCUAAAAGAAAGACAUUAAAUGACCAAUAAGCUGAAAAUAAAAACACAGCAAAAUGAUAUAAUGUGCAAAAAUUAAUCAUAAGAAAGGAAUGGAUACACUAAUAUCAAAGUAGACUUUAGAUAAGGAACAUUACCAGCGAUAAACAGAGACAUUUCAUAAUGAUAAAGACAUCAAUUAAUCAAGGAGAUCUAACAGUCCUAAAUGUGAACACACCUAAGGACACAA
Molecule: long non-coding RNA, 5976 nt
Filed under: Homo sapiens (human)
Lineage: Eukaryota; Metazoa; Chordata; Mammalia; Primates; Hominidae
Description: small nucleolar RNA host gene 14
Source: RNAcentral